RNAcentral lists this ribosomal RNA (1371 nucleotides) under uncultured bacterium. RNAcentral describes it as "16S ribosomal RNA". It matches the Rfam family "Bacterial small subunit ribosomal RNA", at positions 30 to 1391 of the family's 1533-position model. The record is from RNAcentral.
UGAACGCUGGCGGUAUGCUUAACACAUGCAAGUCGAACGGAAACGAUACUAGCUUGCUAGUAGGCGUCGAGUGGCGGACGGGUGAGUAACGCGUAGGAAUCUGCCUGAUAGUGGGGGAUAGCCCGAAGAAAUUCGGAUUAAUACCGCAUAAUCUAUUCGUAGUAAAGUGGGGGACUUUCGAGCCUCACGCUAUCAGAUGAGCCUGCGUAAGAUUAGCUUGUUGGUAGGGUAAAAGCCUACCAAGGCGACGAUCUUUAGCUGGUCUGAGAGGAUGAUCAGCCACAUCGGGACUGAGACACGGCCCGAACUCCUACGGGAGGCAGCAGUGGGGAAUAUUGGACAAUGGGGGCAACCCUGAUCCAGCAAUACCGCGUGUGUGAAGAAGGCCUGAGGGUUGUAAAGCACUUUCAAUUGUGAAGAAAAGUUAGCGGUUAAUAACCGUUAGCCUUGACGUUAACUUUAGAAGAAGCACCGGCUAACUCCGUGCCAGCAGCCGCGGUAAUACGGAGGGUGCAAGCGUUAAUCGGAAUUACUGGGCGUAAAGCGUGCGUAGGCGGUUUAUUAAGUCAGAUGUGAAAGCCCCGGGCUUAACCUGGGAACUGCAUUUGAAACUGGUCAACUAGAGUAUGGUAGAGGAAAGUGGAAUUUCUGGUGUAGCGGUGAAAUGCGUAGAUAUCAGAAGGAACAUCAAUGGCGAAAGGCAGCUUUCUGGACCAAUACUGACGCUGAGGUACGAAAGCGUGGGUAGCAAACAGGAUUAGAUACCCUGGUAGUCCACGCCGUAAACGAUGAUAACUAGCCGUUGGGGGGAUUUACCCUUUAGUGGCGAAGCUAACGCGUUAAGUUAUCCGCCUGGGGAGUACGGCCGCAAGGUUAAAACUCAAAGGAAUUGACGGGGACCCGCACAAGCGGUGGAGCAUGUGGUUUAAUUCGAUGCAACGCGAAGAACCUUACCUGGUCUUGACAUCCUGCGAACUUUCUAGAAAUAGAUUGGUGCCUUCGGGAACGCAGUGACAGGUGCUGCAUGGCUGUCGUCAGCUCGUGUCGUGAGAUGUUGGGUUAAGUCCCGUAACGAGCGCAACCCCUAUCCUUAUUUGCCAGCACAUCAUGGUGGGAACUAUAAGGAGACUGCCGGUGAUAAACCGGAGGAAGGCGGGGACGACGUCAAGUCAUCAUGGCCCUUACGACCAGGGCUACACACGUGCUACAAUGGGAAGGACAAAGAGCCGCGAAGCCGCGAGGUGUAGCUAAUCUCAUAAACCUUUUCGUAGUCCGGAUUGGAGUCUGCAACUCGACUCCAUGAAGUCGGAAUCGCUAGUAAUCGUAGAUCAGAAUGCUACGGUGAAUACGUUCCCGGGUCUUGUACACACC